GGCCUCCUCCGAGCCCAACAUCGACAAGGCAGCGCUGCUGGCGUUCCUCUCCGGCGUGGGCCGCGGCGCCACCGCCUGCCCGCGCUCAUGGGCCUCCACCUCCACCGCAACGCCUUCUCUAGCGCGCUCCCCACCGCCCUCGUGGGGCUGACCGCGCUCCAGGUGCUCGACCUCUCCUUCAACGCCUUCAACGGUGUCGUCCCCGGCGCGCUCGCCAACCUCACCUGCCUCGUCGCGCUCGACCUCUCCAACAACUCGUUGUCCGGCUGCGUGCGUGUGAGCAUGAUGUGUUGUGCUGUGACGACGACGCUCAACAACCUACCGCCUCUUGUCUCCAUUCUCAAGUUCUUCUGACAAUCAAUGUGUUUAGUUCAAAUAUUCACGUUACGAAUUCGAUGGCUAGAGUAGAAAAUUUGGAACUUCAGGGAGAAACAAUUUUAAAUAGGACUCAGGACUGCCUUAUCACAUUUACUUUGUGAUAAUGACAACUCAAAGUUGCUGGCAACUUGGCAUCUUGGUGAAAUGAUGGAACCCAACAUGAUCUGUCAGCAAAUUACUAUCUACUUUGUCAAUAUAAUGCACUACUUAACCUACUUUCCGUUUUCAAUUUUAGCGACUACCUUUCCAAACUUCUGCUUAUUGGUGAUUCUGGUGUUGGGAACUCAUGCUUACUUCUCAGAUUUGCAGAUGAUUCUUAUUUGGACAGCUAUAUCAGCACAAUUGGGGUUGAUUUCAAAAUUCGCACAGUGGAGCAAGAUGGGAAGACCAUAAAACUUCAAAUUGUGAACUAUAAAGUAAAAGGUAAAAUUUAUCCUUUUCAUUGAAGGACCUCUCAGAGAUAUUGAGGGAACUCUGAUCGCUACUGAAGGAGCUCUCAUGGCCAUUGAAUGACCUCUCUUUUCAUGGAAAAAUAGGUAACUUUAUUCAUGCUACAGCAGCGACUUUGAGCGAACAUGAGACCACUGAGCUCUGGAGUGAAUGAAGGACGUCGUCUUUGGAAGUCAGACAUCACCUAGAGCUAGGGUGUUCAUUCUCGACAUGUUUCUCUUAGUGAUAGGUGGAUACUGUCUAGUUAGGAACAGAGUAUUGAGGGAUUGAUGGACGCAUGCAUCUUCAAUUCCUGUGUGUUGUAUUACUACUGGUACAAUCUCCAAUUCUUGUGAACUUUUGUAUUUGGACUUGUGUGAAUUUGUGAUAUGAACAUAUAUCCAUGUGUUUGAAAUCU
This is a long non-coding RNA of Zea mays, 1225 nucleotides long. RefSeq lists it as uncharacterized. NCBI's taxonomy places the organism in Eukaryota, Viridiplantae, Streptophyta, Magnoliopsida, Poales, Poaceae. The record is from RefSeq and is a predicted model, not a curated record. The transcript has 4 exons.